CAUGGUCAGCUGUCUGAGCUGGAGGGCAUGGACUUGGAGGCGUGUGGGAAAUCUGGCCACCAGAGGUCACCCGAAGACAACAUACAGGGCCCAAGGCUCUUGGAGUAGUUUGAAAUAUAAUGGAAAGAACAAUAGUCUUGGAGUUGGGUCUCCCAACUGAAGUUUGAAUUUGGAUUCUGCCACUUCUUAUGACUUUAGAUAAACUGCUGCUACAAGCCUUGGAAUCACACUUUUCCUGGUCAUCACACACCAUGAAUCAGUUCCUGUCUCACCCGAUAACUUUCCUCAGUACCUGGGCCUUCUCAUCUGGGAACAUCCAUCUCUCCCCAUUGCUUCCUUACUCUGGAACAUCCCUCUGCCGUUCUGGCCUCCUUCUCCCUUUGGUAAAUUACUCCUGGGGCCUACAUUUUGGGGAGAGGCCCAGGCCAGCUAACCUUCAUUCUCCUCUUGACUCUGACUUCCUGGACUUCAACACAAUGCCCAUGUGUAGGUUACCUUCUCCUUCCCUCCCUCUCAGUUCCCACUUGUGUGUAUUAGAU
Molecule: non-coding RNA, 539 nt
Organism: Phascolarctos cinereus (koala)
Lineage: Eukaryota; Metazoa; Chordata; Mammalia; Diprotodontia; Phascolarctidae
Source: RefSeq, a predicted model, not a curated record